Molecule: unclassified non-coding RNA, 489 nt
Filed under: Cimex lectularius (bed bug)
Lineage: Eukaryota; Metazoa; Arthropoda; Insecta; Hemiptera; Cimicidae
Description: uncharacterized LOC106669085, transcript variant X1
Source: RNAcentral
UCUUUUUGUGGAAUUGAUUUUCUGUUCUUUGUCGUUUUUGGAUUUCUUCUUUUACUACAUGAAAUCCACACUGAAGAAACGGAUAAAAAUCAUACAUAUUCGCCUGCAAAUUUUAGCAUCGCAGAAGAUUUUGAAAAACAACUUGAAUUUCUCAACACUACCGUUGCAAACUUGGCAUUAGAAACAUUAAACUGCACUUUCACAAUUGAGGACAAUGGCCAACUAACAACUGUUGUAGACAAGACAAGAGAAGAGAUUGAAAGCGAAGGGAAGAAAAUACUUGAAGAGAAUUGUACAGCUGAGGUGGAACUUGAGAGAAGACUCAGUUACGGUGCACUGGCAAGUCUUACAAGCGUUUAAAUAUAAUCUUUAAAAAGCCUUAUUAUGCAAUUGUCAAUUCAUUAACUAUUAUUUGUAGUUAGUUUUCAAUACGCUAGGUAAUUUCUCAAUUCUUUAAACAGGUAAAUAAAUUUAUUUGCGAAAAGUGAA